Molecule: long non-coding RNA, 201 nt
Filed under: Brassica napus (rape)
Lineage: Eukaryota; Viridiplantae; Streptophyta; Magnoliopsida; Brassicales; Brassicaceae
Description: long non-coding RNA (BNAP_LNC013097)
Source: RNAcentral
CUGGAUAUAAAUAUUGAUUUUUGAGUUUAUUCUCAUUUCGUUAUUUUGUUUCGGCCUGAGAUUUAGAGAAUGUUUAAGAUUUAAAAUUAUUAAAAAGAUACAUACUUAGGUUAAGAUAUGUGUCAUGUGCAGAAUAAAUAUUUUAUAUGUAUUACUUAUUUUAUGUUUUUCUGCAUAUUAUGAAAUAAUAAAAUAAUAAUU